UCCACUGCACUAUGAAGUGAGCGCCCUC
Molecule: non-coding RNA, 28 nt
Filed under: Mus musculus (house mouse)
Lineage: Eukaryota; Metazoa; Chordata; Mammalia; Rodentia; Muridae
Source: RNAcentral